UCUGGUGUCAGCCGCCGCGGUAAAACCAGCACCUCAAGUGGUCAGGAUGAUUAUUGGGCCUAAAGCAUCCGUAGCCUGCUUUGCCAGUUUUCGGUUAAAUCCAUACGCUCAACGUAUGGGCUGCCGGGAAUACUACAAAGCUAGGGAGUGGGAGAGGUAGACGGUACUCGGUAGGAAGGGGUAAAAUCCUUUGAUCUAUUGAUGACCACCUGUGGCGAAGGCGGUCUACCAGAACACGUCCGACGGUGAGGGAUGAAAGCUGGGGGAGCAAACCGGAUUAGAUACCCGGGUAGUCCCAGCUGUAAGCUAUGCAAACUCAGUGAUGCAUUGGCUUGAUGCCAAUGCAGUGCUGCAGGGAAGCCGUUAAGUUUGCCGCCUGGGAAGUACGUACGCAAGUAUGAAACUUAAAGGAAUUGGCGGGGGAGCACCACAAGGGGUGAAGCCUGCGGUUCAAUUGGAGUCAACGCCAGAAAUCUUACCCGGAGAGACAGCAGAAUGAAGGUCAAGCUGAAGACUUUACCAGACAAGCU
Molecule: ribosomal RNA, 530 nt
Filed under: uncultured Nitrososphaerota archaeon
Lineage: Archaea; Thermoproteati; Nitrososphaerota
Description: bacterial SSU rRNA
Rfam family: Archaeal small subunit ribosomal RNA
Source: RNAcentral